UACGUAGGGUGCGAGCGUUGUCCGGAAUUAUUGGGCGUAAAGAGCUCGUAGGCGGUCUGUCGCGUCGGUCGUGAAAACUUGGGGCUUAACCCUGAGCUUGCGGUCGGUACGGGCAUGACUGGAGUUCGGCAGGGGAGACUGGAAUUCCUGGUGUAGCGGUGAAAUGCGUAGAUAUCGAGAGGAACACCAGUGGCGAAGGCGAGUCUCUGGACAUUUCCUGACGCUGAGGAGCGAAAGCGUGGGGAGCGAACAGG
Molecule: ribosomal RNA, 254 nt
Filed under: uncultured bacterium
Lineage: Bacteria
Description: partial 16S ribosomal RNA
Rfam family: Bacterial small subunit ribosomal RNA
Source: RNAcentral